AGAGUUUGAUCCUGGCUCAGAACGAACGCUGGCGGCAGGCUUAACACAUGCAAGUCGAACGCACCGCAAGGUGAGUGGCAGACGGGUGAGUAACGCGUGGGAACGUGCCCUUCAGUUCGGGAUAACCCAGGGAAACUUGGGCUAAUACCGGAUACGUGCGAGAGCAGAAAGAUUCAUCGCUGAAGGAUCGGCCCGCGUCUGAUUAGCUAGUUGGUAGGGUAAUGGCCUACCAAGGCGACGAUCAGUAGCUGGUCUGAGAGGAUGAUCAGCCACAUUGGGACUGAGACACGGCCCAAACUCCUACGGGAGGCAGCAGUGGGGAAUAUUGGACGAUGGGCGCAAGCCUGAUCCAGCCAUGCCGCGUGAGUGAUGAAGGCCUUAGGGUUGUAAAGCUCUUUCGUCCGGGACGAUAAUGACGGUACCGGAAGAAGAAGCCCCGGCUAACUUCGUGCCAGCAGCCGCGGUAAUACGAAGGGGGCUAGCGUUGUUCGGAAUCACUGGGCGUAAAGGGCGCGUAGGCGGCCUGAUAAGUCGGGGGUGAAAGCCUGUGGCUCAACCACAGAAUUGCCUUCGAUACUGUCGGGCUUGAGACCGGAAGAGGUAAGUGGAACUGCGAGUGUAGAGGUGAAAUUCGUAGAUAUUCGCAAGAACACCAGUGGCGAAGGCGGCUUACUGGUCCGGUUCUGACGCUGAGGCGCGAAAGCGUGGGGAGCAAACAGGAUUAGAUACCCCCGUAGUCC
This 740-nucleotide ribosomal RNA is filed under the name uncultured Hyphomicrobiales bacterium. Its description in RNAcentral is "bacterial SSU rRNA". It matches the Rfam family "Bacterial small subunit ribosomal RNA", at positions 8 to 796 of the family's 1533-position model. Lineage: Bacteria; Pseudomonadati; Pseudomonadota; Alphaproteobacteria; Hyphomicrobiales. The record is from RNAcentral.